Molecule: long non-coding RNA, 965 nt
Organism: Ctenopharyngodon idella (grass carp)
Lineage: Eukaryota; Metazoa; Chordata; Actinopteri; Cypriniformes; Xenocyprididae
Exons: 3
Source: RefSeq, a predicted model, not a curated record
CUUUUAUAUACUUUUAUAUAGGCCUUUUAAAAAUUAUAAUUUAUAAGUUGCCAAUUUACAUGUUUUAUAAAAAAAAAAAACAUCUCUUACUAUUCUUAUCUCGAAGUUAAACCUACUUAGAGCUUACUACUUAACUGUAACUGCUUGCAGUUAAAACUACUACAGCUCGCACCUCAUAUUUGGCACGUGCCGUGUCAGUGAAAUCAUUAAAAUGGGACGUAGUACGAGUAGGUCUGCGCUCUUGGAUAUCUUUUUAAAAAGCCGUUUCAUCAGCAACAGCUUUGGGCUAUCCUGUAUUUUAAGCAUUUAUUUAGAGAGGAACCGCACACAAGGUAAUGAAGGGCAUCGAUCCAGGUUGCUUUAUUAACGGGACGUGCUUCUGAAGCGCUAAUAGGACGCCACUUAUUCUGUGGAGGUUUAAUUAGCCUCGCGCGGAAAAUGUGCUUACAGCGCGCGCUGCCACUCGGCCGUCACCUCGCACCUCGCACCCCGCACACACGCUCAUUUCACGGGCCGCUGGGACCGAGAUCAAGUCAGCGAGGCCCUUUCUUCAAACGUUCAUUAAAGAGACAAGACAUUGAUUUUUAAAAAUGACUUCAAAACUUCUCAAUACUGACCUACCAUGAGCUCUGAGGUUGUUAAGUGACGAUACCUGCUUCUAUAAGACCCACAGUGGAUAAAUGGUCAUUUGGACAUCAUCACAAGAUACAUCCUGUUGGGCUGACCAGCUAACUGCAUCUAAUAGCUACAGAUCUUAUGUGCUAAGACUGCCAAAAUAUUCCUAUUAUGAACAUAUUCUGUGUGUUCAUGAAGUAAUGGAUUGAUUUUACAGUGAUUAAAAUAUCUUUGUAUACAGACACAUUUUCAGACUUUCAUUUUGCUGCUGCAACGUGAUCUUAUGAGAAAACGUAUGUAUUUUUACGUAAAUUGUGGUUCUACCACACGUACAUUUACUUACGUUUUCA